GACGAACGCUGGCGGCGUGCUUAACACAUGCAAGUCGAACGGAAAGGCCCUGCUUUUGUGGGGUGCUCGAGUGGCGAACGGGUGAGUAACACGUGAGUAACCUGCCCUUGACUUUGGGAUAACUUCAGGAAACUGGGGCUAAUACCGGAUAGGAGCUCCUGCUGCAUGGUGGGGGUUGGAAAGUUUCGGCGGUUGGGGAUGGACUCGCGGCUUAUCAGCUUGUUGGUGGGGUAGUGGCUUACCAAGGCUUUGACGGGUAGCCGGCCUGAGAGGGUGACCGGCCGAAUUGGGACUGAGAUACGGCCCAGACUCCUACGGGAGGCAGCAGUGGGGAAUAUUGCACAAUGGGCGGAAGCCUGAUGCAGCAACGCCGCGUGCGGGAUGACGGCCUUCGGGUUGUAAACCGCUUUCGCCUGUGACGAAGCGUGAGUGACGGUAAUGGGUAAAGAAGCACCGGCUAACUACGUG
This 468-nucleotide ribosomal RNA is filed under the name uncultured bacterium. Its description in RNAcentral is "partial 16S ribosomal RNA". It matches the Rfam family "Bacterial small subunit ribosomal RNA", at positions 28 to 507 of the family's 1533-position model. The record is from RNAcentral.